GACGAACGCUGGCGGCGUGCUUAACACAUGCAAGUCGAACGGAAAGUCCCUGCUUUUUGGGGGUGCUCGGCGUGCGAACUGGUGAGUAACACUUAGGUAACCUGUCCUUGACUUUGGGAUAACUUCAGGAAACUUGGUCUAAUACCGGAUAGGAGCUCCUGCUGCAUGGUGGGGGUUGGAUAGUUUCGGCGGUUGGUGAUGGACUCGCGGCUUAUCAGAUUGGUGGUUGGGUAGUGGCUUACCAAGGCUUUGACAGGUAGCCGGCCUGAGAGGGUGACCGGACCAAUUGGGACUGAGAUACGGCCCAGACUAGUCCGGGAGGCAGCAGUGGAGAGUAGUGCACAAUGGGAGGGACGAUGAUGUAGCCCAGCAGCGUGGGGGGUGACGGCAUUGGGGUUGUAUACUGAAUUCGUCUGUGCCGAAGCGUGAAUGACGGUAAUGGGUAAAGAAGCACCGGCUAACUCCGUG
This 468-nucleotide ribosomal RNA is filed under the name uncultured bacterium. RNAcentral's name for it is "partial 16S ribosomal RNA". It matches the Rfam family "Bacterial small subunit ribosomal RNA", at positions 28 to 507 of the family's 1533-position model. The record is from RNAcentral.